Trichosurus vulpecula (common brushtail) is the source of this 502-nucleotide long non-coding RNA. RefSeq lists it as uncharacterized. The record is from RefSeq and is a predicted model, not a curated record. NCBI's taxonomy places the organism in Eukaryota, Metazoa, Chordata, Mammalia, Diprotodontia, Phalangeridae. The transcript is spliced from 3 exons.
AUCGGGGGAUGGUGCAAGUUCCCUCCUUGUCUUCAGGCCUCAAGUACAACACGAAAGUUACUUUAGAACCAGCUCCCUUCGGACUCUGAAGACAGGCCCCGUUCUCCAGCAUCCGAGAGAGCCGAGCUCUCCUGGGGAUGGAGCUGCCCACCUGUCUCACUUCAUCGCAGAGGAGGACAAAGACCAGGGCAUAAAGGAUGAGCUCCGGUGUGUGAGGCACGGAGUGGAAAUCCAUGAGUAGCACGUAGGCGAAGAGCAGCAGGAAGGCGAUGUAGAAGACCACAUUCCAGGAGAAGACCACGAAUGGCGAGGUGAAGAAAGCCAGGGUGUCAGAAAAGCCCUUGGGAUCAAGCUGGCUACUCUACCCAUCUCACACCUGGAGCUCGAUAUCCAGAUCCUCCCUGCUGCUCCUAUCUUCCUUCCUGUACCCUCUUCGGAAGUUUGCCACCAGCUUCCAGACAAAGGGGGGAAGGCAGAGCAAUUGGGGUUAAGUGACUUGCCC